Molecule: non-coding RNA, 223 nt
Organism: Microcebus murinus (gray mouse lemur)
Lineage: Eukaryota; Metazoa; Chordata; Mammalia; Primates; Cheirogaleidae
Source: RefSeq, a predicted model, not a curated record
GCCUCGAAGCUGCCUGCCUGGUUUUUCCUUGGGGUUGGCCAAUCAAAAGAAUCAAGAAUAAGGGAGAAGGAAGAGAAACAUCUGUGUGUAGAAAAAUGGAGCCCCAAGUUUUGCAGUGGGAACACACACAUUUGGGCUCGGUAAACACUUAAGGAAGUUGCCAUGCACUGCAGCCUGCCGGAGACAUGAAGGAAUGUACAGGAGGAUAAUCACAACAUCAUCA